UUUCCCGCCGUCACUUCAAGUUAGAUGCAGCAGCAGAGUGAGAGGGAAAAAACGUUUGUGUGUGAUGUGUGCGUCAAUGCUGAAAAAGUCGACUGAGAUGGGUUCAGUGAGGAAGAGGAACGCACCCAGAACCUGCAGGAUCAAGAUGAAUUUCACACAGUUUCUUGCAGGAGAUGGAGCCAUUUCACCACUAGGUGGCGGUCUACCAAAGCUGCACCAGUGCUUUCUGAUUCUUUGUUGUUUGGGAGUCUGUGAAGCAUGCGGUCGUGCUGAGUAGGACACAGGAGCUGAAUGGUGCCCUACUGUAUGUGUUCCCCAGGUCACUGGGUGCAUAGUCACUGUAAUGAGGCCACCAGGACCACGUGUUCCCCAAAGCCCGGCCUCAACGCUCACUGAUACAGUAAGCCCAACGGACGCAGGGGCUGUUGAUGCUGCCUGAGCUGUGAGGCAGGUGGCGAUGUUUGAGUUGAUUCAGCUCAUUUUUACACCUAUUGUUGUGUAUUAGUGUUUAACACUGAUUGUCAGAUUAAUUCACAGGAAUUUUGCAAAUAAUGUUUGACUGUUCAUGUUUGAGUUCAUUAACAUUUACUGUUGUCAAAAAGGCAGUUGAUAGAAACUGCAAUCCACAAGCACCUGAUUAACCCAUUUCACUCCAUCGGUCACAAUUGUGACCGAAAAAAAAAUAUGUACUUAUAAGCCUCUAAAAUUGUAACUACUACUGGACUCUGUCAGAGGCCUCAAGUAGUACGUGUUGGCAACAAUAUCUCAAGCAGCAUCACACUG
Alosa alosa (allis shad) is the source of this 783-nucleotide long non-coding RNA. RefSeq lists it as uncharacterized. Lineage: Eukaryota; Metazoa; Chordata; Actinopteri; Clupeiformes; Clupeidae. The record is from RefSeq and is a predicted model, not a curated record. The transcript has 4 exons.